UCGGGCACUUGUGCUCGAGCCGGCAAAUUUCGGAAUGGGGAGUUUGGCUGGGGCGGCACAUCUGUUAAAUGAUAACACAGGUGUCCUAAGGUGAGCUCAAUGAGAACAGAAAUCUCAUGUAGAACAAAAGGGUAAAAGCUCACUUGAUUUUGAUUUUCAGUAUGAAUACAAACCGUGAAAGCGUGGCCUAUCGAUCCUUUAGUUCUUUUGAAUUUUAAGCUAGAGGUGUCAGAAAAGUUACCACAGGGAUAACUGGCUU
Molecule: non-coding RNA, 259 nt
Filed under: Phytophthora nicotianae P1569
Lineage: Eukaryota; Oomycota; Peronosporomycetes; Peronosporales; Peronosporaceae
Description: Phytophthora parasitica P1569 Eukaryotic large subunit ribosomal RNA
Rfam family: Eukaryotic large subunit ribosomal RNA
Source: Rfam by way of RNAcentral